Molecule: non-coding RNA, 403 nt
Organism: Coturnix japonica (Japanese quail)
Lineage: Eukaryota; Metazoa; Chordata; Aves; Galliformes; Phasianidae
Source: RefSeq, a predicted model, not a curated record
CCAGUUUGUGCCCACUGCCUCUGGUCCUGGCACUGGGCACCACUGACAGCAGCCUGGCUCUGUCCUCUCUGCACUCAGGAAGCAAACACUGAGAGCUACACCUCUGUCGUAUCAUUUGCUACCCAGGGACUGAACAGUGCUCAGACUCAGGCUGCUGCCCCGGAGCUCAUGCUCAGACAAUUACAACACACUUCUAAAGAGAACUGAGAAGAUUAUCCCAGCUGGAUAAGAGAUCAGAUAAAGUAAGCACAAAAAACCUUCAGCGGGAUAAUACAUCAUGGAAGAUUUACACUGUGCUGACCUAAGACUGCAGUGAUGAGAACCCAAAGUCCUGACAGCCCGAUGCAAAUUGCAUGGCAGUGACCUGGGUAAGCCUGAACUACUGAAGCCAGAUGAUUAAUCA